AAUAAAUAACACCUGAAGACCAGCUCAGCAGUGGCAACAGUGGCAGUUAAACCUCAAGAUCGUAAGCCACAGCUCACACACUUAUUUGAAUACUUCCUGUCACAUUGUGGUUUUAGUUGAAACUUCUAUUCAGCCUACAAGCUGCUUCUCACCAAACCACCCGUCCGUGUGAGCUGCAAGACAACGGAAAUAUAUUAGUGGUGAUUUAGUCAAAGUAGUCACAAUUUACGAGAUUAACAAUGUCAUUUUGAGAUUUAAACUGUAAAUAUUCAUAAGUAAUAUUAACUUAUGACAUUAUUGUUGAUAUAUUUUGAAUUCUGUGGUUUAAAGGGACACUUCACCCAUUUGCAUUAAGCUUUGUAUCAUUAGAACCCCAGUCAUAUUUUUGAAUGGUCGUGUAUCAUUCCCUCACUUUCCCUGAGAGGGGAGAAAUAAGGAUUUUAGUGUUGCACUUCCUGUUUCCAAUGAUGUAAUAAUCGUCAUUUUGCGUCAUUGGAAGCAGGAAGUCUCAUAUCUCUGUAGAGGGGGUGAGACUACAAACACUACUUCCUCUUUUUUUUUUAACUCAUGCUACAGACCUAUUACAGAUCAGUGGGUGCGACUUCACCUGCGGAAACUAAAAAAAUAUAACCACCAUGUUGUUUGGAAGCUAAGCGGAGGCGCUGUGGAGCCAGACGUUAGGACUAUGGUAAUCAAUCUAAUAUGGAAGAAAUUUCUAAAGUAUGAUGGUCGAAUCAGAUCUUCGUGGCUACCUUUAUGAGCCGCAAUAUAGCGAGCAGCGUCUGAGGCUUCUGCAGCCGAGGCAGAGGGCCUGUCUGUCUACCGGCCUACCUCGCUGUGUGCCUACGGACACACGGACGUCUGACUGUAAAACAAUAUCGCCUUUCUGGAAUCCUGCAAGGCGAGAGAUUGGGUAGAGGCCAUCGUGUCGUUUUACCCGCUUAUGUGGUGCAGGCUAUCCGACAGAAACAUCCAGCUCCAGAUGGCCAGUACUGCGGCACCGAGGAGUUGAGGAUGCUCAGGAGGAACUAUAACUGUCAUUGUUAACAUAUUUGUUUUUGUUGUUGUUGAUAUAUUUUUGUAAAUAAAUGGUUUACAUUCACAUUGUUGUAGUCCUUGAUAGUGUUAGUGGGAGCGGCUUGCGGAGCUGUGCAUUGUGGGAGUUGUUGUCUUUUAUACAAAUGUGCCCUAAAGUCACUUUCUGUCUUUUCUCGGUCAAAUAGGCACCAAAUUCAAAAUAUGUGUUACAUUUCGACUACAUAUAUAACCCACUUUCAAUAAAUAUUAAUGUUUCCACGGGUGAAAUGCUCCUUUAAUUGCAUUACAGCAAAUGGCCUAAACCUAAAAUCUGAAACCAAGUUGAAAACAUAGAAAUUAAAUAUUAAAUAUUAAAUAACUCAAGUACCUUUACUGGAAUUUUAUUUAACUCCAUACUUUUAAUUGGU
Molecule: long non-coding RNA, 1445 nt
Filed under: Dicentrarchus labrax (European seabass)
Lineage: Eukaryota; Metazoa; Chordata; Actinopteri; Moronidae
Description: lncRNA (ENSDLAG00005031004.1)
Source: RNAcentral